GACGAACGCUGGCGGCGUGCCUAAUACAUGCAAGUAGAACGCUGAAGAGAGGAGCUUGCUCUUCUUGGAUGAGUUGCGAACGGGUGAGUAACGCGUAGGUAACCUGCCUUGUAGCGGGGGAUAACUAUUGGAAACGAUAGCUAAUACCGCAUAACAAUGGAUGACACAUGUCAUUUAUUUGAAAGGGGCAAUUGCUCCACUACAAGAUGGACCUGCGUUGUAUUAGCUAGUAGGUGAGGUAAUGGCUCACCUAGGCGACGAUACAUAGCCGACCUGAGAGGGUGAUCGGCCACACUGGGACUGAGACACGGCCCAGACUCCUACGGGAGGCAGCAGUAGGGAAUCUUCGGCAAUGGGGGCAACCCUGACCGAGCAACGCCGCGUGAGUGAAGAAGGUUUUCGGAUCGUAAAGCUCUGUUGUAAGUCAAGAACGGGUGUGAGAGUGGAAAGUUCACACUGUGACGGUAGCUUACCAGAAAGGGACGGCUAACUACGUGGCAGCAGCCGCGGUAAUACGUAGGUCCCGAGCGUUGUCCGGAUUUAUGGGGCGUAAAGCGAGCGCAGGCGGUUUGAUAGUCUGAAGUUAAAGGCUGUGGCUCAACCAUAGUUCGCUUUGGAAACUGUCAAACUUGAGUGCAGAAGGGGAGAGUGGAAUUCCAUGUGUAGCGGUGGAAUGCGUAGAUAUAUGGAGGAACACCGGUGGCGAAAGCGGCUCUCUGGUCUGUAACUGACGCUGAGGCUCGAAAGCGUGGGGAGCGAACAGGAUUAGAUACCCUGGUAGUCCACGCCGUAAACGAUGAGUGCUAGGUGUUGGAUCCUUUCCGGGAUUCAGUGCCGCAGCUAACGCAUUAAGCACUCCGCCUGGGGAGUACGACCGCAAGGUUGAAACUCAAAGGAAUUGACGGGGGCCCGCACAAGCGGUGGAGCAUGUGGUUUAAUUCGAAGCAACGCGAAGAACCUUACCAGGUCUUGACAUCCCGAUGCUAUUUCUAGAGAUAGAAAGUUACUUCGGUACAUCGGUGACAGGUGGUGCAUGGUUGUCGUCAGCUCGUGUCGUGAGAUGUUGGGUUAAGUCCCGCAACGAGCGCAACCCCUAUUGUUAGUUGCCAUCAUUCAGUUGGGCACUCUAGCGAGACUGCCGGUAAUAAACCGGAGGAAGGUGGGGAUGACGUCAAAUCAUCAUGCCCCUUAUGACCUGGGCUACACACGUGCUACAAUGGUUGGUACAACGAGUUGCGAGUCGGUGACGGCGAGCUAAUCUCUUAAAGCCAAUCUCAGUUCGGAUUGUAGGCUGCAACUCGCCUACAUGAAGUCGGAAUCGCUAGUAAUCGCGGAUCAGCACGCCGCGGUGAAUACGUUCCCGGGCCU
This 1368-nucleotide ribosomal RNA is filed under the name uncultured bacterium. Its description in RNAcentral is "bacterial SSU rRNA". It matches the Rfam family "Bacterial small subunit ribosomal RNA", at positions 28 to 1381 of the family's 1533-position model. The record is from RNAcentral.